GCCGUGCAGCUACGGUUGUUAUUUACUUUGUGGGAUUUAAAAAGUGCACAACCCAGCCGGAUAAUCAUUUUACAGCAGCGGAGCAAGAGAGGAGCACAUGCAGGCUGGGACGCGAGCCGCAGCACAUGCAUACGGAUUGGUUUUAUUCCUCCAGACUCUCUUACUCCGAAUAUUUUUGUUUUAAAUCAGAGUAUAGCCUACUUCUGAAUCUCCAGGUGCAUGCUGCAGGCCCACCUGAGUGAUUGCAUGGCUCCGUUUCCUGCACCGAGCCAUGUGGCUAUUUUACAUGCUGUCAUUUGUCUUCGAGGGGACGGCUGAGAAACGUAAAAUUCUGAAAUUUGCCGCUGCAUGGUCUCCAGCUCUCCUCCAUCCCGUCCCCCUUCUCUCCAUCUCCAUCUCCACUCUACUCCUUCUCUCCCAUUCCCCUCAUCCCGGCUCCCCUCUCCCUAUAACCCCAUACCUACUCCCUCCCCUGUUUUUCCUUCACCCCCCCCCCCCAAAAUAGGUACACUCCUCCACCCACUCUUGGCAGCUCCAUCUCCUCCUC
Hippoglossus stenolepis (Pacific halibut) is the source of this 547-nucleotide long non-coding RNA. RefSeq lists it as uncharacterized. The record is from RefSeq and is a predicted model, not a curated record. The transcript is spliced from 3 exons. NCBI's taxonomy places the organism in Eukaryota, Metazoa, Chordata, Actinopteri, Pleuronectiformes, Pleuronectidae.